RNAcentral lists this transfer RNA (97 nucleotides) under Sphingosinicella soli. RNAcentral describes it as "tRNA-Arg". The record is from RNAcentral. Lineage: Bacteria; Pseudomonadati; Pseudomonadota; Alphaproteobacteria; Sphingomonadales; Sphingosinicellaceae.
AGCUGCUCGUCCGGGUCGCCUGAUCGACGCCGGAGCACGCGCUAGCUUUGCCCUCCGAAGGCAGAGGUCGUGAGUUCGAAUCUCGCCGGGUGCGCCA